GACGACGGCCAUGCCACUGUGAACGAGCCCAAUCCCCUCUGAUUUCGGAAGCUAAGCAGGGUUGGGCCUGGUUAGUCCUUGGAUGGGAGACCACCUAGGAAGACCAGGUGCUGUAGGCA
Molecule: ribosomal RNA, 119 nt
Filed under: Pteropus alecto (black flying fox)
Lineage: Eukaryota; Metazoa; Chordata; Mammalia; Chiroptera; Pteropodidae
Source: RNAcentral